This 699-nucleotide ribosomal RNA is filed under the name bacterium UASWS0112. RNAcentral's name for it is "bacterial SSU rRNA". It matches the Rfam family "Bacterial small subunit ribosomal RNA", at positions 820 to 1533 of the family's 1533-position model. The record is from RNAcentral. RNAcentral also lists the same sequence under 2 other names.
CCGUUGGGGAUCUUGAAUCCUUAGUGGCGCAGCUAACGCACUAAGUUGACCGCUGGGGAGUACGGCCGCAAGGUUAAAACUCAAAUGAAUUGACGGGGGCCCGCACAAGCGGUGGAGCAUGUGGUUUAAUUCGACGCAACGCGAAGAACCUUACCUGGCCUUGACAUGCAGAGAACGUUCCAGAGAUGGAUCGGUGCCUUCGGGAACUCUGACACAGGUGCUGCAUGGCCGUCGUCAGCUCGUGUCGUGAGAUGUUGGGUUAAGUCCCGUAACGAGCGCAACCCCUAUCCCUAGUUGCUAGCAGGUAAUGCUGAGAACUCUAGGGAGACUGCCGGUGACAAACCGGAGGAAGGUGGGGAUGACGUCAGGUCAUCAUGGCCCUUACGGCCAGGGCUACACACGUGCUACAAUGGCGCGCACAGAGGGCUGCAAACCCGCGAGGGGGAGCCAAUCUCACAAAACGCGUCGUAGUCCGGAUCGGAGUCUGCAACUCGACUCCGUGAAGUCGGAAUCGCUAGUAAUCGUGAAUCAGAAUGUCACGGUGAAUACGUUCCCGGGCCUUGUACACACCGCCCGUCACACCAUGGGAGUGGAUUGCACCAGAAGUAGUUAGUCUAACCUUCGGGAGGACGAUUACCACGGUGUGGUUCAUGACUGGGGUGAAGUCGUAACAAGGUAGCCGUAAGCUUGGAUCCCGGG